CGAAUACAGCCAGUUACAGGAAAAGGAAAAUGCCAAUUCAGCUUGGGAUAGAAUGUGCAGCUAAUUUGUAAAAGUAUGGUUGAAGAAUAGUAUUGUCAUGUGUUAGAUAGUUUAUGAUUGUGUAUUAGUUAAGGUUACUCGAUUUUGGGGAAAUGGUGUGUAAAGUUUAAUGUAUAAACAAUUUAUGUUUAUAUCUUCC
RNAcentral lists this long non-coding RNA (199 nucleotides) under Panax ginseng (ginseng). RNAcentral describes it as "long non-coding RNA (PGIN_LNC014136)". The record is from RNAcentral. Lineage: Eukaryota; Viridiplantae; Streptophyta; Magnoliopsida; Apiales; Araliaceae.